This is a long non-coding RNA of Lates calcarifer (barramundi perch), 3908 nucleotides long. RefSeq lists it as uncharacterized. Lineage: Eukaryota; Metazoa; Chordata; Actinopteri; Centropomidae. The record is from RefSeq and is a predicted model, not a curated record. The transcript has 2 exons.
UGUUAUUAAACUUUCAUUAUUUUAUAAAACAUUUUAGGGCAUUAAACGCGUUUACCAGAGAGCAUGCCCCUCGUAUUCAAAAACCACCCUCCCGAUUUCUGUAAAAGAUAGACAGGAACAUGGGCAGGAUGUUUAUACAGCAAAAUGUAAACAUUUUCCCUGGCCUUCUUUAAAUAAAAAAUCAAGCAAAAGCCCCGUUAGAUCAGCUAAUACUCAAUCUGAUGCGAUAUGCCCGUGUGUUCGCAGCGUCUUGUGUAGAUACAGGACGUUUUUACACAUGAAUAUUGUUUGUGUAAUGUAGUCAUAAUAUUUACGCAGGGGACGCAGGAGGAGUGGAGCACCGAACUGCCCGGACUGUGAGCGCAGAGACUCGGACUGGGACUUGAGAUCGACUCCUGCAGGCGGUUUACCAUCCGAAUGAUCCAGGAAUUAUACAGCUGGAGUGGGCAGGCGUGCGGCUUUGGCCACAGGAAGCCGUGAAUUCUUCGGAGAAUGGAAGAUGUCUUAUGGGGAGACAUACUGGCCCCCCACCCACCCACUCACCACCUCAAAAUGACCCCUGACCCCUUCAUGUGUUUAUAUCAGACCAUGGAAGUGAGAAAUAGUGAUGAGUCAUUCUGGCUGUGUGUUUACACUCCGGAGUCACGCAAGGAAGGAAAUCAGCCACGGUCUGCUAAAAGUGGCGAGGUGAGAGAGAAUAGCUGCAGUCCCCGGAGCGCUGCAGUGAUUUACCUCUCAGGACCAGAAUUUAUUUCACAUCAUCUCUGCUGCGGUGACUUUUGACCAACAGAAAACAGCAGCGGCAUUAGCACGGCUGUGGACUGUUGUCGAGGAAAAGGCAACUCUGAUUGCAGCAAAAUAAGUGGCAGUUACUGAGGAUAUAUGUGCUUAUACAGUAUGUGCAUGUAGCUAGUAAAAUCUACCCAGAUAGAAUAGGCAGAAUAAUUCAUAAUGUAACAUAUCAUAAUAAAUAUGUUGACUGAAUUUUAGAAAACUCUUGAUAUAUUGAUGGCUUUCUAAUCAAGGCAGGUAAAAAAAAAAGCACAUCACUGUUAGACUGAGAACUUGUAUCUCCACAUGUUCAAUGUUAUUAAAACAAAAAUCGCUUUCAGCCUCUUAACUAUACCUUUUACUGUGGAAUUCAUCUGGCAAUAUUUUCAGAAUGUUUCUUCUACCACAAAGAGAGUGUCUAAUUGCUUAAUUUAAAUUAAAAAUGAAAAUUACUAAGAUAAUAAGUUACAAGGUUAUCACCCAACAGCAAUAGUAACACUGUAUAACUUGCUUUUUUUCAGUUAAUCUAGGGGGAAAAAAAAUGCUAACAGUAAAGCCAUAUUCUGCACUAAUGGAAUAUAGUGUUCUGCAAAAAUAUUUAGUUUUAGAUUUUUUUAUUGUCAGUAAUGUACUAUAUUGAUAUCACAUUUAAAAAAUACUUAGAUACUUGAAACUUCAUCCACAGUUAAAAUUCCCAGUUGUGAUCUCGUUGUCUGACAUUGUGUCUAUCACAGCAUAUCCCAAGCUGGACUAUGGUUAGGGAAAUGUUUAUAUAACAAUCAUAAUAGUUUAUGUGUAAUUAUGGUAGUUUGUAUGUAUUUAUAACUUAUAUUAUAAGUGACAAGUGGAUUUUUAUGAAAGCAAGUUAGUCAGGAGUCAGUACCAGUGACUCCACUGAUAUGUGUAUUUAUGAAAACGAUUUCAUAAGAAACCCAUUAAAGUUUAUAGAGAUCCCAAAAUCACUGUAAAAUAAUUUUAAAGGCUUGGGCUACAAGUUAGAAGUUGAGCUGAGAUCAUAUUACAGAGGUGCACAUUUCCCUUAAACUGUUUUGACAUUAUAUUUUCAGCAUCUUCAUCUUACCCAUCAUGCAACAGACUGUGCAUCCGUUUGUGCUGAUGAUAAGUGAUAUGCCAUACAAGUUACUGUCCACUUUAUAGCCUCAAAAAUACAAUAUUAUAAAGAGAAUUUUGCUCACUGUGUUAUAAAAUGUGUUUACGAUAUAUGUGAGUGACAGCGUCAUUGCUGCAUGAACCACACUGGACACGUAUUAUGUUGUGCUCUGCAGGACUUUAUGUUCUAUGUACUGUAAGGUGUGUUUACUGUGGCUUUGACCAGUGUUUCAAACACAGUGUCACUGCUGCCCUCCGCACCGAGCAACUUUAGAUUUCAGAUUGCACAACUGUUGUUUUGGAGAGACAGCUGUAGUUAACUGCAGUUAUGCUCUGUAAAUAAAAGUGACACUUUAUUUCUUUCCGUCAUUACAUGGGUGCAAGUAACUUCAUUGCCGACUGUAGCGAGUAUCCUGUUACACACCAACAUACACACCACCACAAUGAGAGAGUCAGCAGCUCUUAUUUUGGCUGAUCUCUCCUGAAUUGUAACUCCUGUCAGGGGCUUUGAUUGAUAGUUGUGUUUAUCACCAUAUUAUUAAGUAAUCAGUCUCACCACAGCUGGGCCUGAAGCUCCUUAAUUCCAGCUAAAGCACACAGCUUCAUGCUAAUUAAAGGUUUGGUGAAGGAGUUUAUUUUUGUGAAUUUUUAAAAUAUAGUUGUCUGUGUUUUUAUGAGAAUGCGCUGAUUGUUGCAUUUGUAUUCUCUCAGGAACAUUUAGUAGCAACCUUUAGAGCUGUACCUUCAUCAGAAAGAUCAUGGACAGUGGAGGGAAAAUCAUGCUGCCCAGACUGAAUGUAGAAUGUAAAAAUCUCUCCUUUCAGUAAUGUACAUUACUGUAAAGUCUGUAAAAUGACAGAUAACUUACAUACAAUACAGUAUAUAACACAAGCAGGUCAAUCAGUCUAUGUUGUGUGUAUCAGCAGAGAUUUCUUCUCGCUUCGUUAAUAGAGCCCGCGGCUUUGCUGCGUUUGUGUAUUACUGAGGUAAACACAGUCAUGGCAAAGUGGACAUGCUGCUGAGUGUGUCCUGACUGGAGACAGAGAGCACUGUGGCACUGUACUGACUGAGACACUGGCAGCUCUCUAGAGGUAGGGUUAAUGUGAUGAAUGGCCAUUUGGUAAUGGGCCAUGUAUUAGGGUGAAAUAGCUUUUUUAAAAGCCCGAGCUCGAGCUGUUGCUACGGGCAAUUUGAUUCAGGAAUCAGUCAGGUGGCAGAUGUUUCAUGUUAGAUCAGUCAACUUUGUCUUGCUCUCUCUUUCAACUAAAUGAAGGAAAAAAUGAUUGCAAAACUGCGCAUAGCAAUCAAAUGAAAAUAUAACUUCAUGCAGUCAAAAAUAUCAGUGAUGCCUUUUUGUUUAAAAGUCUUUAAAAAUAUUCGGCCAAUUUUAGGAACUGUGUAAAUAAAUUGAUUGAUUCUUAAACAAGGUGAAAAAUGUAAUCAUAUUUUUUUCUUCACUUUGAACAGCAUAGGUUCUCUCCUAUCCCAGACUGCUUUGUGUUCAAGCCGCCUCACUGCCAGGAUGGUCCUCAAGCUAUUAGUGGAUAACCUGCAGUGCUAAUUAUUAUUUUUGCACACAAGCUAGAUUUGCAGAUUUAUGAAUUUCUACCCACAAAGUGAAACACAUAAUGUGGAAAGUACACUGUUCUUCGAAAAAUAUUUAUAUAUUGCUAAAGAGGUUGAGAUGUGUUCAUGUAAUUAAAAGGGUGUUUUGUGUAAUGAUUAUAUACAAGCCUUCCAUUAUUAUAUGUUGCAUAUUGUACUAAUUCAUUUUCACCUUGUUCAUAAUGUAUUGCCCAUUGUCUCUGUGUUACUAAGUUCUGCUGCUAUUUUGGACAAAUGAUAGUUUAGGAUUUAAUAUUUGUUGUAACACAUUUUCAUCAGUGAAGUUCCACUUUAGGUGGAACUGUUGUUGGUGCAUUUAGCCACAUUUCUUCAUCCUGACCUGUUUUAAUUUGACUAACAGAACAAUAUAGGCUAAGAGUGUGUGUGGCACAGUGAAUAAAAAGUUUCUUUUUUUGAUGUCA